AUACGUAGGGGGCGAGCGUUGUCCGGAAUUACUGGGCGUAAAGGGUGCGUAGGCGGCCCUUUAAGUCAGAUGUGAAAGCCCGCGGCUUAACCGCGGAACUGCAUUUGAAACUGGAGGGCUUGAGUGUCGGAGAGGGUAGUGGAAUUCCCAGUGUAGCGGUGAAAUGCGUAGAUAUUGGGAGGAACACCAGUGGCGAAGGCGACUACCUGGACGAUAACUGACGCUGAGGCACGAAAGCUAGGGGAGCAAACAGGAUUAGAUACCCUGGUAGUCCUAGCCGUAAACGAUGGGUACUAGGUGUGGGUGGUUUCGAUACCAUCCGUGCCGCAGCUAACGCAUUAAGUACCCCGCCUGGGGAGUACGUGCGCAAGCAUGAA
RNAcentral lists this ribosomal RNA (377 nucleotides) under uncultured bacterium. Its description in RNAcentral is "bacterial SSU rRNA". It matches the Rfam family "Bacterial small subunit ribosomal RNA", at positions 523 to 898 of the family's 1533-position model. The record is from RNAcentral.